Non-coding RNA from Paramuricea clavata, 420 nucleotides. The record is from the annotation of a GenBank genome assembly. NCBI's taxonomy places the organism in Eukaryota, Metazoa, Cnidaria, Anthozoa, Malacalcyonacea, Plexauridae.
GCCCGUUUUCCACUUCACCAUUUCGCUCGCCGCCCCGCGCUCGAUUACAUUAAAACAACAUUUCCAGUUCACCUUUUAUACAAUAGUACUCUGAUUUUCCAUAUUUAACAUACAAGCCUCUAGUCCUGGGCUAGGGUACAUUUUGAUUUACGUCGGACAAAGCUACAGUUCGGUCAGACACCAAUACACUCGGGUCGGACAAACAAAAACCCUCAGUUUCACUUUGGUCGGACAGAAUGUCCGGUGGUUUCCUCUCUACGUCGGACAAUUUCACGAAUGGGUCGGACAAUGUCCGUGACCGACCGAUAUUUUAAGGUCUGCGUGAAAUAAAAUAACGAGGAAAUUUAACAAGGAAUAUUAAGUUAACGCAAAUAGUGUAAUUUCCAAGUUAACCAGAUAAUUUUAACCAGAUUAUUUUUA